This 13921-nucleotide unclassified non-coding RNA is filed under the name Octopus sinensis (East Asian common octopus). RNAcentral's name for it is "phosphatidylinositol 4-kinase alpha, transcript variant X1". Lineage: Eukaryota; Metazoa; Mollusca; Cephalopoda; Octopoda; Octopodidae. The record is from RNAcentral.
UUCAUUGGUAGAAAGCAUGAGGUUGGAAUUAAAGUGGGAGGAAUCGCAAUUAGAUGGAGUAAUUGAGAAAUAGCGAGGUACUGUGAGUAAAGAAAGCGGAAUAGAGAGACAGAAAGAAGAAAACUGGCUCUAGUUGUUGGCAGAGGAGGAGUGUCAUCAUGGCAGCGCUGGAGCAAUGGUGUUUAUAUUCCAAAAUGCUGCAACAGUUAGCUUAUACUUUAGCAUCCAUGAAGCCAACUCCAUGGGAAAAGGUUAACAAGAUUAUGAAAUUAUGUCCAGUGGAAAGUAACCAUGGAACACUUAAAUUGGAUAGCCGGUCGCAGGAUGUUAUCAUUGCUUUGGGUAUAUAUCUAUUAGAGUCUGGACUUCAGUACAAAGAAAAAAUCCUACCAUAUUUGCUGAAUGUAUUAAGAGACCUCCCUAAAGUUCAGUGGAUUGAUGGACCCAAAGGAACACAAAAACACAGACAGAUAAAAUAUGAAAGUGGUGUUAAAAAAUCAGGCUUUUAUAAAUCUGAGAACCAAGUGAAAUUAUCAGAACUUCCGAUGGGAGAAUGCUUCAGUUUCUGUCUCAAUACAAUUCUGAGUGAUGUGGCCUAUCGUGAUUCAGAGCUCAGGGAGCAGAUUUUGUCAGCACAGUUGGAUACAAUGGUUGUUCUCACAACACUUUGCCAAGGGACACAUGACAUACCUAAAGAAACUUUAUGCACAUCUAUUGUACCAGCUCUAAUUGGAAUGGCUCGAGCCAUUGGCCGUUCUUCUGAUGAUGAAAUACCUCUCAUAAAGCUGCUGUUUCCUUUACCAAGUUCCUGUGUUAUGGAAGAGGUGUUGAGCGAUGACAAAAGCCCUCCAAAGAAACCAUUCACCAAAUUCCGAUCGAUAUUCCCACGCACGUUAUCUUCCCAUGUAAUCACACCAGAAAGUCCUACAAGUCCCACACCAGGCAUCAACGAUGGCCCCAUUGAUUUCAGACGUGAACGAUCUCCCUCCCCUAUGGCACCAACACAACAUAAAGGAGGUCUGACGGAUGAAUUGCUUGACCCUACAAUCCGUUAUUUCAAUAAAGUCGGAUCUAGUUUCACACGAACCAAACCCUGGGGUUUUGAAAUCAUUCCUGAAGAAGAUCACUUAAAAUUUUCUAGUUCUCAACUCCAGACACUUGUUAGUGUGGCCAAACGUUUGCUGAGUAAGGACAUUCUGAAAAAUCUAGAUAGCAUGGCCGCUGAAGUAUAUACAUAUGGUCAUCUGAUGCGAUUUCCAUACAAAUCUUUUAGUGAGACAGUUACCUUGGUAGUGGUUACUUUGCUCAGAGAUGUCUUGGAACAAGAAAAAGAUCUGCCAGCAUCUUUUAUGAAGGAAGUGCAAGAUUUUGUAAAAUCCUUAUAUUUAUCCGGACAAACUGAACUCCAAAGCAAAUAUCAACGAAGUGCUUCCGACAUUCGCCAGUUACAUUUUGAUCCGUAUGAAUUGAUGGUGUGUAGUAAUGCUGCCUGUGUUGAUUUGUUGUUCUGGGCCGUCAGGGAUGACUCUGAAGCUGAGAAUCUAUGUCUACGAUUGACCGAAAAGAUCAACUCCAUAACAGACAAAAAGUUACUUCUGAUGCAUAUGCCGUUACAAAUGGUAUCUCUAGAGGCUCUUGGUAAAUUAGCCACCAAAUUUCCUUGUCUUGCGAGUACCAUGUUAGCAUCUUUGCGGGAAUACCUCGUUAUACCUUCCCCUGUGCUCAGCAAACUCAACAAAUAUGCAACACAAGAGGCCAACAUAAAAAUCACAGUCACUGAUGAAAAUCGCAUUUUAAACAAACGGACCAGCAAUCACCCCAAAAAUAAAUUAAUGGCUACUUUAGAAAACCUUCGAGACACAGCAGUAACGAAUGUAUGCAGGUGUUUGAAAGCUGGUUUACAGGUUGACCAAGAUAUUGUACAAGCGUUUCUUGCCUCUGUCUCGAAUCGAUUAUAUCGUACAGAGACCAGUGAUAGAGAAUCUGCUCUGAUCUCAACAAAUACAAUUCUAACACUUGGUCAUGUUGCUGUGGCGCUAAAAGAUACACCGAAGACUGUAGAAUCUGUAUUGCAAAUAUUCCAGCAACGAUUCUGUUCCCCCCAAUCUCAUCUUGAUGAGUUGAUCAUUGAUCAGCUAGGAUGUAUGAUAAUGGCUGGAUGUUCCAGCAUAUCAGGAGAAGUGAUGAAGAUGUUUUCUCAGAUCAGCAUUGAAAGCAGUUCAGCCUAUGGACGCUAUGACAACGAAGAUAAAGUCAAUGCAUACAGACAUGUUUCCCUGUCAGUAAUAAAUGCUUUUGCAAACAUCUCAGCUAAUAUACAAACUGAGAAUGAACAAAUUGAGUUACUGAUUCGGUUAUUGGAACUGUUUGUGCAAAUGGGGCUGGAAGGCAAACGGGCGAGUGAGCGUGCUCAAGGAGCAAUGAAGGCAUCAAGCAGUGCUGGAAAUCUUGGUUUACUCAUACCAGUAAUUGCUGUGCUCGUUCGGCGUUUGCCUCCAAUUCGGGAUCCCAAACAACGUUUAAACAAACUAUUCAGGGAUUUCUGGCUUUAUUGUGUAAUUAUGGGAUUUGCCGUAGAAGAUUCAGGUAUUUGGCCCCAUGAUUGGUUUGAAGGCGUCUGUGAAAUUGCUGUAAAAUCUCCUUUACUGCUUUCGAGAGAACACCUACGUUCAGAGUUGCGCUACAAUACAGCACUUAAAAAUGAUGGAGUUGCACCAGCCGAAGUGAAUGAACUACGAUUAAGUAUUUGCAAUUUGCUCAAUCAAAGCACAGAAGUGACAGCUAUUAUAAACCGACUCAACUUCGCACAGUGCGCUUAUCUCCUUUCAGUGUUUCGCUUGGAGACACUCAGGGUAACUUAUUCCACUGAUCCAUUAUCAUUCCAAGGGUUAUUCCAUUACUUAGAAGACAAUACAAUCAUCAAAGAUAAAGCCAAUAUGUGGCAAUGUCUUGCUGCAGUUUCCGAUAAAGUCUUCAGCAAGUUCUUAGAAGUCAUGGCUGAAAAGCCAAAAACAGACGAAAGAGAGAGAGAAUUGGAAAGGCAUGCCCAGUUUUUGUUGGUGAAGUUCAACCAUGUCCAUAAGAAUAUUCGGUGUGUAGCUGACAAAUACCUGUCAGGUCUAGUCGACAGGUUUCCGUAUUUACUGUGGAGUGGAGUGUUAUUACAAACCAUGCUGGACAUUUUACAAGUUCUGUCAAAGUCCCUGGAAGUGGACCCUCAUGCCAAAGCCCCAGAUUUAGCCAUACCAAACACUCCUUACAUCUUAAGAGUAAGAGACAACAUGGUUGACAGAGAGAAUACCGUAAAGGAUUUUGCUGCUCGUAGCACAGGAAUUAUCCAAGAAGCCAUGAAAUGGGCCCCUAAUGCUACCCGAUCUCAUCUCAUUGAAUAUCUGCUGAAAAUGGAACACUCAUCUCAAGGGUUAUACUACCACAGUGGUCUUGCCCUUGCUACUGAGAGUGUGUUAAAUUAUGCUGGAUAUAAUAAAACUGCAGCCCCCUUAGGGACUGCCACCCUUGAUAGACGACCAAAUUGUGUUACGACUGACAGUUCCAAUUUCAUGGCUGCUUUAAGUUUGCGAAGUCGUUUCAGUGGAGAAGUUUCUGGUAUGAGAUAUGUUUGUAAUAAUGAUGAAGAACUAAUCAAAAAGUUGUGUGAUGGACUUGAUAAAGACUGUGAUAAUAAAAAGUCAGAAGAGAUCAAAGCAGGGAUGUUCAGAGUAUGUGCACUUCUUAUUUCAAUUAAAGUACUCAAGCGUCAAUUACUUCAUACCUUGUGUUGGGUUCCUGUUAAGGAUUUUACAGAAAGAACUAUGGAAGUUGCUGUUACGUGCUGGGAAUGGCUUCUUGCUGCUCGGCCUGAUUUUAGUAUUGAGUUCUUAUGUGAAAUGGCCAUGGCUUGGCAGAUGACAGUUGAUAAGAAACUUGGCAUCUUUGCUGAAGACAAACCUCGGCCUGAUCCUUUAGCUAAAACUGAGGAUCAAAUUCUUGAUCCAAAUCCUCCACAUGUAGCUGGUCAUCAGAUCUGGACGAAGUUUCUCGCUGAACGUGUUGAAAUUGCACGCUACUGCAGUGUUGAUCAAGUGGGCAUCCUGCUUUCCCUGCUUCAUAAAUCUCUCUCUAUUAGUGUAGGAAAACAGCCUGGAUUAAUUUCCCGACACCCAGCUGCCUUGGGGCCAAGAGUCAGGCUGUUAACAAUGGGUCUAUCUCUUCUACAAGGGGUACUUCUUCCUAACAAUUUAAGCCGCAGUGUACUUCGUGAGAGGGUCUAUGCUGCAACAUUAGACUACUUUUGUGGUCCUGUAAUCUGCCCAACUCAGCGUGGUUCUGAGUUAAGGGAAGACAUCAUCAGUUUGAUAAAGUUCUGGAAAUUGAUGCAUGCUGACAAGAAAUAUCUUAAGUCCAAUGUGUUACCAUUCUGCGCUGCUUCAGCUACAGAUCCUAGUAAUUUGAAUCCCGCUCAGCUGUCUAUGUCUGGCACAUUUUCAUCUGACCUGAAGUCAUCGCAAUCGUCCAGUGGAUGGAUGAACACCAUCAAUAGUGGGGUUUCAGUACAUUCCAAGAGAUCUACCACAUUGUCAGUUUCACCCACAUCCUUCCAGUCAGGCUAUGAUUUUUCUGAUGGUUCCAUGACCCGCGGCCCUGACAAUGAGUUUUUUGGCAGCGCUGGGACUCUGGGUUCUGGUACAAGAAAAUUUAAUACAGCUGGGGACCACUUUGUCAAGGACUACAUGAGGAAAAGAAAUCUGAUUCUGUCUUUAAUGGCAAAUGCUAUUGAUGCCUUUAUAACCUGGCACAAUCCACUUGAACUUAUGGAACAAAGGAUACCUGGUGAAGAGACCAUUACAACUUGGCGGAAUCAGAUAAUGACAGAGAAGCAUUACAGAGAAACUGCUCGACUUGCUUGGGAUAUUUCCCCAAUUCUUGGUGUCUAUUUACCCAACAGGUUCAAAAACUCUGAAGCCCUUGUAAAAGAGGUAACCCGCCUUGUACGACUUAACCCAAUGGUGGUAAAUCAAAUCCCAGAAGUUAUUAAUUACUUAGUGACAGUCCACAGUGUUGAAGCCGAUGCUCCUGAGUUGGUACAUGUCCUUACUUGGGCAGCUGUGUCUCCGGGGGUGGCACUGUCCUAUUUUUCCCGUCAGUUUCCACCACAUCCUUUGACGGCUCAGUUUGCAGUACGAUCUUUGCGUUCGUAUCCACCAGAUGCUCUUAUCUUCUACAUUCCACAACUGGUACAAGCACUGCGAUAUGAUAAGAUGGGUUAUGUUGUAGAAUUUAUUCUAUGGGCAUCAAAGUAUUCAUCGUUACUAGCUCAUCAGCUUCUGUGGAACAUGCAAACCAAUGUCUACCAGGAUGAAGAUGCAACCAUCAAAGAUGAUCAAAUUGGGGAUCUACUGGAGAGUUUGAUGAAAGACAUCACAAAGAACUUGUCUGGUGCUGCUCUCAAGUUUUAUCAAAGAGAAUUUAAAUUCUUUGGAAAGAUAACCAAUAUCUCAGGAGAAAUUCGGCCCUACCCCAAAGGCCCAGACAGAAAAGAAGCUUGCUUGAAGGCCUUAGCCAAAGUUCAACUUCCAAAAGGUGUGUACCUCCCUUCUAAUCCUGAAGCUGUCGUUGUAGGAAUAGAUUAUCAUUCUGGUACACCAAUGCAAAGUGCAGCAAAAGCACCAUUUUUAGCUCGAUUCUCUGUCAAAAAAUGUGGAGUAAAAGAACUAGAAAAUCUCGGCUUGGAAGAAUCCUAUGGUUCAGAAAAUGAUGGCAUCCCUCAGCAUUGGCAAGCUUGUAUUUUUAAAGUUGGUGAUGAUGUACGGCAGGAUAUGUUGGCGUUACAAGUGAUAACAAUGUUCAAGAAUAUAUUUGAAUUGGCUGGUCUUGAGCUCUAUUUGAAGCCAUACAGAGUUGUUGCGACUAAUCCUGGGUGUGGUGUCAUUGAGUGUGUUCCCAAUGCCAAAUCGAGAGACCAAAUUGGUCGACAGACUGACAUAGAUAUGUAUCAAUAUUUCAUAAAUAAAUACGGUGAUGAAGACACCACAGACUUCCAAGCUGCAAGGCGUAACUUCAUUGUGAGCAUGGCUGCUUACAGUGUAAUCAGCUACAUUUUACAAAUCAAAGACCGACACAAUGGAAACAUAAUGUUAGAUGGUGAUGGCCAUAUUGUUCAUAUUGAUUUUGGGUUUAUGUUUGAGAGUUCACCAGGAGGAAAUUUAGGCUGGGAACCAGACAUUAAACUAACAGAUGAAAUGGUGAUGAUAAUGGGUGGUAAAAUGGAAGCUCCACCAUUCCAGUGGUUCUUAGAGCUCUGUGUUCAAGGUUUCUUGGCCAUCAGACCUUAUCAAGAAGCUGUGGUAUCUCUUGUAUCACUGAUGCUUGACACUGGACUACCAUGUUUCCGUGGACAAACUAUCAAACUCCUGCGCAGCCGCUUUGCUCCCCAAGCCAAUGAACGAGAUGCAGCAAAUUUCAUACUGAAAAUCAUUCGUGACUGUUACCUAAAUUGGCGAGGCAAAACCUACGACAUGCUACAGUAUUAUCAAAAUAAGAUCCCUUACUGAACGACUCAGUCUGCAUUUUCUUGCACAUUCAUAUUCUCUGUACAUCUUUACACUGUAUCUGUGCAGUGUUUCUGUUGUGGACUGGAGGAAAAGCUACAAGUUAGACACGUUGGCCUGUCUGUUGGUCCUGAAACAUUACAACAACACAACACUGAUACCUUCAUGUCAUCGUGGUCUGUGAUAGUUAAAGCUGUUCUCUUGAUUGUUGUAGCAGCUUCUUUCAAACAAUCAACUAGUGUGUAAGAGACAUAUCACAAACUCACACAUACGCACGUGCAAAUGAUCACACACACACAUUACAUAUGAAACAUGCAUACAUUUCCACCACUAGUUUUAAACAUAAAAUAAAUUACCCUGAUAUACAGAAAUAAAAAAAAAAAUAUUGGAGACCUCCUCUUUUAAGAGUAGACGUAGUCAGCAGUUGAUACAUAUAUACAUAUAUGUAUGUAUGUAUGUAUAUAGUUUUUCAAGCUUUAUUAUUAGCUGGGCAGAUGAUAGCUGCUAAGUUGGUGAGAGAAAAGUUGCAGGUCUCCAACAAUCGGGAACUAUUAUUUUUUAUUUUUUUAAGCUGAAAUUGUUAUUUGAAUGAAAGUUGUUGCAUUGAGUGACCAAAUUUGAUCUGUUAGAAUUUGGUUACUGAAUAUAUUUCCUGGAUUAAAUCUUAUCCACAUGAUAGGAAAUCAACAUUAUUGUUUUGAAAUAUUUUCUAAUAUUUCUAAAUAUUUUCUCUGUUGGUGCGUGCAUUGUUCUUGUUAUGAUGCCAGUUGUUAUGAUACUCUAAUCAGAGAUUGGUGGUGGCAUCGUUGUACAACAGUUUCAAGGCCAGUAUGUAUAUUCCUGUUGUAUAUUUGUGAAUAGCUACACUACAUCAUCAUCAUUCAUUUCUUUUAGCGUCCACUUUUCCAUGCUAGCAUGGGUUGGACAGUUUAUUGAGGCAGAUUUUUCUGUGACCAGAUGCCUUUCCUGUCACCAACCAUCACCUGUUUCCAAGCAAGGUGAUAUAUUUGACCAGAUGAGUUCUCGCAGAAUAUUGGAAAUGAAUGACACUGCUUGUAUGACAGUGACCCUCAUUUACAACAAUACUGUGAUGUCAAGAGGAGACACACACACAUAGAUAUACAUGUAGUAUGUAUAUAUAUAUAUAUUAUAUAUAUAUAUAUAUAUAUAUAUAUAUACACACACACAUGCAUGUAUGUGUGUGUGUGUGUGUGUCUAUUCAGUGACUGGGAAUGUCAGUCAUCCUAUUAUGGGUCAAUGUUUUUCUUAUGGACAGAAGACUACAGUUGCAGGCCCUCACACAUCUAAACAAAUCCCUUGUCAAAUAAAACAAAUCAUUUUACAAUCAUGUAAAAGUUGGAAGCAAUUCUGACAUUUUAUCAGACACCUCAAACAAAAUACGGUGUGAAUUGAUAGGAGUGAUUUUGUUUGCUUCUUCAGAUUCAGUCCCAUUUCAGUCCCAUCUGAAAGUAGACUGGUGUGUCACCUGUGGAACUGCACUUAGAAUUAGGAGAGAAGAAAAGAGAAUGAGGCCUACAGUGACAAUAACUUCAGUUGCUAGUCUCAUUUUUCUAAAAAGAAUGCAAAUAAAAACUUUUUUUUUCCCCCAGAACAUCUUGACCAUAACUCCCACAAAAUUUAUUUACAAACAUUCCUGUUUAGCUGAAUUCUUUUUCUUUCAAUUUUGUCUUUUUUCUUUUAAUGAAUCUGAUUUUGACUGUUUUCUAGCGCAAUCUUUCAAACCAGAAACAUUUCACUGUUUUAAUGUUUGAGAAGAACUUUCUAUCAUUCACAUUACCAAUUACCUCUUUCGCUUUGGAGCAAAUUCCAAAUGGUUUCUUUUAUAUAUUUGUUUAUUGUUUAGAUACAAUUCUGUUUUUGUUUUUCACAAUAUUUCACUUGUUUUCAGAAAUAACUCCAUGACAUUUUAUUUUCUCCAUUUUGUCUCUCAGAAAUACCUGUCUAGUCUCUUGAUGGGACCAUGAUUUCCAGUUAUACAGAGAAACAAGAUUCAAAAUUAUUUAAUUUGAUUAAUUUAUUCGUCAUCAAUCAAUAUGUGGAGUAACUAAGUUUAUUCCAAAGUUGGUAUUCAUCAGAUACAUUUCUAGAAAGUCUUUCACAUUUUACUUCUCACUUGUUCUGGCAAGAAAUCUUUUGGGUUAAAUGUCUGUAUAUUACUUUCUCCUCAAUAAUAGUUACGUCUCUGAAAAAAUGAUUUUCACCAACUUUGUCUUACAGCUGUAUAGAGUGAAGACAGGUUGUGUGUUAUACUCGUAUCAGUCUCAAGUAAAAUUUUCAUCAAUAUUCUACUUGUAUAUUCGUCUUCCAAUUUUAACAAUUUCGAAACAUGUAAUUUAACAUGAUUUUUUUUUUUUAAAGAUAAAUCCAAUUUGUGUUGAAUAUUUGAUCUGUCUCCUUAGAAUUGUCACAUAUUUUUAGUGCUGUAACUUCAUGGUCUUUAUUUCAGAUCUUUCCCUUCUCUUAUUAUAAAGACUAAAUUUGAAAUUAAAUAUUUAUCUUACCUGUAUGAUUCCAAGGAAUUUAGACUUUAAGGCUAAAAUCUGGUAUGAUUAUUUUCCAGUCAGAAACUUGGUGAAUGUUUUCAUUUAAAACAAAAACAAUCAAGUCUUAUUACAUUUUUUUUUGUUAAUAUUUUCAUGUUAUUUGUGACUUUUCAAAAAUGAUUGCUUCACCUAUUAAUUUAGUCCUGCAGGUGAUACAGCUUUAAUUCUCCAGUAGAAUUUUAAAACUCAUUUUAUUAUUUAGUAGUUGAAAAUUUAUUCUUAUGACUGAUCUUGGGGUUAGCAAAAUGGUUGUCAAGUCCUUAUAAACACAGUACUUCUUGUAAUCCAUCUUUUUCCAUCUUAGACAUCAUAUAAUGAACUCAUUUCCUUUCAUUUGUUGAUUAUAUUUUUUAAGAAAAAUCAUUGACUAAUGAUUAGUUUAGAAUACCAUUUUGUUAAAUUUCCUGAAUCAGAUUCUAUGAAACAAUGUUGUUGAAUCACUAGAAACAGAACUGUUUGGUCACAAAGUGUCAAGUGUAAAGGAUGCUUAGUGUUUAAAGAGCAAAGUCUAUUCAAUAUGAUUUAUUCAUAAAACUGUUUUACUUUCUUCCUUUAAAUUUUCUCCCAUCUCAUAGUCAUUGACUUUAUUUUUGACAAAUUAAAAGAACUGAAAAUAAAGUAUGCAUUUCUUUAUGCAAUGACAUUUUAAUUGCAAACAUGACAGAAUAUAUUUCUAAAUAGAUGUACAUCAGGUGACAGAGAUAAGCUAUUUUAUUUUGUGCUGAUUUUAAACUGUGACAAAAGUCUGCUAUUAAUACUUGUCUUUUUCCGUCAUUCUUUGCACUCAGCAGUCUUUCUUCUGUAUGAAAUGAUCCAACAAUGAUCUCACUUCACUUUAUAUUAUUUUUUGCUUCUUUAAACCCUUUCGUUACCAACCCGGCUGAAACCACCUCUGGCUCUGUCGUACAAAUGUCUUGUUUUCAUAAGUUUUGCAUUAAAAUCUGCCCCCAAAGCUUAGCCACGAUUUAUGUUCCUAACACUAGCUGAAUGAUAACUAAGUUAUUUUACUAAAUUCUUUGUUAUAUUUAAAAUUAAUUGAAAGAAACACAGAGCAUCUCAAAAUAAAUACAGUAAUGAAAAUAAGUAAUAUAUUUUUAAUACAGAAUUAAUUUUCAGUGUCUAACUGGACAAGUAUCUUGGUAUACAUAUCUUAUUAUGUUGGCUUUGUUUAACUAACAUACCUGAACAGCAACAGGUCCUUGUUUACCAUUUUUAUACCAUUUUAACUACUUGCCUCUAAAACUGUAAUUAUGUAAAUUAGCUUAUUAAAAUUAACUCUCAAAGCUAACAUAAAUUAACAUCUUUGACAAACAUGGCUCUGUAGUUACGUUUGCUUCUUCCCAACCACGUAGUUUUGAGUUCAGUCCUGCUGGAGCACCUUGGGUAAGAGUAUCUUCUUCUAUAACUCUGAGCUGACCAAUUCCUUGUUAGUGGAUUUGGUUGAGAGAAACUGAAAGAAGCCCAGUGUGUGUGUGUGUGUGUGUGUGUGUCUUGACAUUGCAUGAGAUUUGUUAAUGCGUAUCGGUCAUAGAAGCAGUGUCAUUCAUUCCUGGUAUUCUGUGUGGAUAUGUCUGGCUGUGGGGAAAUAUUCCCUUGCUUGGAAACAAGUGAGGGUUGGUGACAGGGAGGGCAUCCACUUGUAGAAAAUCUGCUUCAUUAAACUCCUAAACACAGUCUGGUCAUGCUAGCAUGGAAACGACAACAAUAUAUACAUACGUACAUAUAAAAUCAUUAUCAUUUAACACACAAUUCUACAUUUUUGCAUGGGUCAUCGUGGAAUUCAUUGUGGCAAAUUUUUUUAUGGCCUUUCUUGUUGCUAUUGCUGACUUGUUUCCAAAUAAGGUAAUAUUUCCCCAUAGCCAGACAUUUUUUUUCAGAAAACUGGUAAUGAAUGGUACUGCUUGUAUGACAGUGACACUCAUUUACAACCACUAUGUGAUGUCAAGUCAAGGAGAUAUAAACACACAAAACAGGUUUCUUUCAGUUUCUGUCUUCCAAAUCCACUCGUAAGGUGUUCAUUAAUCUGUGGCUCUAGUAGAAGACACUUGCUCAAGGUACCACCUAGUGGGAUCGAACCUAAGACUACAUGGUUGGAAGCAAACUUCUUAGUCAUACAUCUAUGCUUGCACUUACGUCUUGUGUUUAAUGUUAAUGUCUCUUUUCUGUCUCUUCUAGUAGAGAAUUCAACCUCAAUUUGGUAAACCAUCAAAGUAAACAUUAAUUACUACUUAAUUAGUUCAGCACAUCGUUAUUGUUUGUUCUCAUUUGCUCUAAUGUAAGGUGAAUAAGGUCAAAGACGGAGAACUAGGCGUUAGUGUAAGCCUAAAGAUGGUAAGCCAUCAAAUUGAAAACCGUUCAAUAGGCUAAUUACUAAUUUCUUCCAAUCAGUCUGUGUCACCUUACCUCAAACACUUAUACAAAUUUCUGCUACUAAAACAUUAGUAACAAACCCUCAGUAAUGAAUGAAUUAAUGUACAUAAAUUAAUCAACUAAAAUAUGUCGAAUGAAAUGACCAAGUAAUUAGCCAUCACAUGAAGUUUCCAGUGUGUGUUGUUAGCAUCAUCUUUGUACAUUAGAAGACUUGAAAUGUUGUACAAUUGUCACUUUUAAAAUUUCACACAUGGAAAUUUAAUAAAAAUUAUUUAAAAUAUUUUAAAUACUAUUUUCUUCAUUCAGUUAGAAUUGUUUUCAUAUUUAACAAUUGCUCAACAAUGUUUAAUAAAGAUCUCAUCCUUUAUGAAUGACCAAUUCUGUAAAGAUUGUAAUAUAGGCCGUUGAAGUUACUCCACCCCCUACCCCAAUAUAUUACUGUUAAUUAGUGUAGUGAUUCCAAGGUGGUGAAAUGUAAUCUUAACCUUAAGAUUUGAACUCAGAACAAUAAGGUAACCAACUAGUUAUGUUACUUUCUUACCUGUUGCUUCAACCACUUGUGUUUUCACUAAUGUAAUAUUAAUUCACUUGUUCGGGACAUCUUAGAAACUUUUUUCUUAUAGAAAACUCAAAUUCUGUUCAACAUUUUGACAUUGGGACUGGAAGGAGAACCAUUCAUUAAAUAUUUGUAUUUCAUGAAGAUACUCAAUGGAAUGGUUAAAUCAGACAACCUUCUUAAAAAAACACAUUCUCUGGGAUAUUAAAAUAUCUAAAUCUUACAUUGAUGUGAACCCUAAUAAUUUUGAGUUUAUAGACUAUUUAAAUAUCACAAGUUUUAAGCAUAGCUACCUUGUAACAAUAAGUGCUAAAUGGGCAAGACAAUUGAUUAAUAUUUAACAGUAUAGAAGUAUCUUACUAAUUAAAUAUUUAAUUAGAAACUGGUUUCUUUAUUUCAUUAUUUCUGGUGUUGGACUGGUAGAAGCAGUAGAGUGUCAGACAAAAUGCUUAUAUUUGUGUCUGAAUCAUUUUUACAUUCUAAGUUCAAAUCAUGCCAGAGUUGACUUUACCUUUCAUCGUCCAGGGUUGAUAAAAUAAGUACCGGUGAAGGAGAGGAGUUACUUUUAUAAUUCUUCCUUACAAUUCAAGGUCUUAUCCAUCCAGUUACAUGAGAAACCAAUAUUUCUAUGGCUCUGUACAUCUGCACAUGCAAUGGAUUUGUAGAAUUAUUUUUAUUACUUUUCAAGGUUUCUCUGAUCUAUAAUCAUGAAGUGAAAUAUUUACAAAGAUAAAUUACCAAAUCAAAAUUAAUUUUCUGUCAUAUCCUAGUUGUGUGGCUUCUAUCGUAGGAUUGUUUAACUAAGGCCUGCUGGAAGUAAAUUCUAGGGUUUUAUACUAUUAUAAAAAUUUGCUUAAAGAUAGAAUACAUACGUAACUGCUAUAGACCUUUGAACAAUCUUUAUUUCAUUAUUUCUGGUGAGAUCAUUAAUUAUUUUAUGAUUACAACUGUUUUUUAAAAAUAAUUUACUACUAAGAUUUUCAAUAAGAAAUUAUAUUAGAUUUUAUAAAUCAUGAAUUUGAGACUGAAAACACCAACAGGCCCAUGGAUGAGACUCAAAUAACAUCUGUUUAUUGCUAAGUGAGUGUAUUAUUGAUUUCAAUAUAGAGACGCUCUUACAAUUUCGUCUUUCUCAAAUGAGCUGUUUAACCCUUUUGUUAGCAAACUUCUGCUGAAAUACAUUAUAAAUUAACAUGUUUUGAUGGUAGGUUUUUUUUUUAUUAUUUAGAUUACUUUAAAAACAGAAGUUUUUGUCAUAGGAUCAAAGGCAGGUUGGUACACAAAGUGGGAAAAAAAAAAAAAAAAAUGUAAUUUUUUUUCCUAUUAUUUCUAUGUCCCAAAGAUAAUUGAACAGUUAUUUACUUAGCCUAGCAAACUGAGAUAUAAUGAAAUGUAAAAUUCUUGUAGGUUUAUGUUCAACAUAGAAAGUGUUCCAUGAAUCAAAUUAUGAACUGAAUUGACCAAUAAUAAAAUUAUUUAUUCAAAUCCUAGAGAUGCAGUUUGAUUCCCACCAGCAGACCUGUAGCCUUUUUUUUUUCUUUGUCUCAAAUUGGUGCUUAUAAUAGUUUUUCUUUUUUUUUUUAUAUAUUUUUAAAGAUCUUCUCCAUCCUUCCUUCCACACUUCUGUUGUUUCAACAUUAUUUACAAGUGGUUGAUUUUCACCAUAAACUAAUCUUAGAAUAACUGAUUGCCUUCAGGAAUGUAAUGUUAGUUCUUCUGUCUCACUGACAACAUGAGAAAAUUAUUGCUUAUUGUUUUAAGGCAUCGUUAUCAAGACCUGACAAUUGUUGACAUGUUACAGAAUGUGAAAUAUCUUAAGGCCUACAUUUUGUGACUAAAUAAAAAAAAAAUUUAAAAAACGCUUGAAAAAAUUGAAAAACAAA